AUGGUUUUCCUUUUUUUUCAAGUAUUUUAUAAUUUUUUAUUCUCCACUCUAAACAGUUCACUUCAAUAUCUCUUACACAAAAGCAACUCCCAAGGGCGUUCUGAAGCUUACGAAAGUGGAAGGCCUAAACAUCUAUCAUCUAAAGAUUCAUUUGCAGAUACUACUUUAGGGUUAUUUCGCCACUUCACUGAAAAUGAAACCAAACAUCUCUUCUUCUUUUCUUUGUUGAACAGAAGUACCGACACACAAAGUAUAUUCCAUAGAUCAAAGAAGAGUAAAUGUGUAUAUCGCACAAUUCAAAGGUUAAAAUAUUGUUCUGCUAAAUACCCCCAUCAUCUCAGUAGUUUGUGGGUCAUUACGAUCAGCAUUUACGAUUUGCAUCAAAGUUUUCUAUGCAUGCAAACAAAACUACUCUGA
Molecule: ribosomal RNA, 417 nt
Filed under: Triticum aestivum (bread wheat)
Lineage: Eukaryota; Viridiplantae; Streptophyta; Magnoliopsida; Poales; Poaceae
Description: partial small subunit ribosomal RNA
Source: RNAcentral